RNAcentral lists this ribosomal RNA (295 nucleotides) under uncultured bacterium. RNAcentral describes it as "partial 16S ribosomal RNA". It matches the Rfam family "Bacterial small subunit ribosomal RNA", at positions 338 to 625 of the family's 1533-position model. The record is from RNAcentral.
CCUACGGGAGGCAGCAGUGGGGAAUUUUGGACAAUGGGGGCAACCCUGAUCCAGCAAUGCCGCGUGAGUGAAGAAGGCCUUCGGGUUGUAAAGCUCUUUUGUCAGGGAAGAAAAGGGUCUGGCUAAUAUCUAGGCCUCAUGACGGUACCUGAAGAAUAAGCACCGGCUAACUACGUGCCAGCAGCCGCGGUAAUACGUAGGGUGCAAGCGUUAAUCGGAAUUACUGGGCGUAAAGCGUGCGCAGGCGGUUUUGUAAGACUGUCGUGAAAUCCCCGGGNUCAACCUGGGAAUGGCG